UACGUAGGGGGGCUAGCGUUGUCCGGAAUCAUUGGGCGUAAAGCGCGUGUAGGCGGUCCGGUAAGUCCGCUGUGAAAGUCGGGGGGCUCAACCCUCGAAUGCCGGUGGAUACUGUCGGGCUAGAGUGCGGAAGAGGCGAGUGGAAUUCCUGGUGUAGCGGUGAAAUGCGCAGAUAUCAGGAGGAACACCAAUUGCGAAGGCAGCUCGCUGGGACGUUACUGACGCUGGAGACGCGAAAGCGUGGGGAGCAAACAGG
RNAcentral lists this ribosomal RNA (256 nucleotides) under uncultured bacterium. RNAcentral describes it as "partial 16S ribosomal RNA". It matches the Rfam family "Bacterial small subunit ribosomal RNA", at positions 524 to 776 of the family's 1533-position model. The record is from RNAcentral.